AUGAUCAAAGGGUUUCAAAAUUUAUAAUUUUAAUGGUCGAUAUGAGGUGUUCUCUCGUUUAACGGCGUAAAGAUAUACAAAUCAAUUGAAUUUUUGUUAGAAAAUUUUUUAAACUAUUUAAAAUAAGAUCUAUACUCUUGAUCAUGAUUACAAAACUCCUAUCAUCAUUUUUUAAAAAAUAUUCAUUUUCAGCCGUUCAUUUUUGUGUCCACUCGAUGGAUAAGAGAACAAUAUCGAAAAUAUAUGAAAUUUGAUUUCUAAACACUUCAAGUGGCAUAGAUCAUGUUCAACGGUGCCGAUUGUUGAUUUGGAGGUUCCAUCAUCGAAAACAAAUGGGUGGCAACGGAGCCCGUUUGCUAUUGAUAGUAUUCUAGCUCAACUAUAUAUAUAUAUAUAU
This 397-nucleotide long non-coding RNA is filed under the name Ananas comosus (pineapple). Its description in RNAcentral is "long non-coding RNA (ACOM_LNC000490)". Lineage: Eukaryota; Viridiplantae; Streptophyta; Magnoliopsida; Poales; Bromeliaceae. The record is from RNAcentral.